Molecule: ribosomal RNA, 450 nt
Filed under: uncultured bacterium
Lineage: Bacteria
Description: partial 16S ribosomal RNA
Rfam family: Bacterial small subunit ribosomal RNA
Source: RNAcentral
GUGGGGAAUUUUGGACAAUGGGCGCAAGCCUGAUCCAGCAAUGCCGCGUGUGUGAAGAAGGCCUUCGGGUUGUAAACUGCUUUUGUACGGAACGAAACGGUCCGGGUUAAUACCCUGGGCUAAUGACGGUACCGUAAGAAUAAGCACCGGCUAACUACGUGCCAGCAGCCGCGGUAAUACGUAGGGUGCAAGCGUUAAUCGGAAUUACUGGGCGUAAAGCGUGCGCAGGCGGUUUUGUAAGACAGGCGUGAAAUCCCCGGGCGCAACCUGGGAAUUGCGCUUGUGACUGCAAGGCUGGAGUGCGGCAGAGGGGGAUGGAAUUCCGCGUGUAGCAGUGAAAUGCGUAGAUAUGCGGAGGAACACCGAUGGCGAAGGCAAUCCCCUGGGCCUGCACUGACGCUCAUGCACGAAAGCGUGGGGAGCAAACAGGAUUAGAAACCCCGGUAGUCC